Cercocebus atys (sooty mangabey) is the source of this 99-nucleotide ribosomal RNA. NCBI's taxonomy places the organism in Eukaryota, Metazoa, Chordata, Mammalia, Primates, Cercopithecidae. The record is from Ensembl.
CUCUAUGGCCAUACCACCCUGAUCUUGGAAGCUAAGUAGAAUCGGGCCUAGUCACUAAAUGCAUGGGAGACUGCCCAGGAAUACCAGGGGCGGUAGUAU